CAUCUGUCCUAAUCCAGCCAAUAGACUGGGUCAUGUUGGGCCAUGGAGGCCAGAGGCAAAGUGAGGACACACGCCACAUCCAGCGUUGCAACUUUUCAUUAGUUUAACUUAAGAUAACUCACUUGAUAAGAAAUUCAAAUGAAGUCAUUAAAAGUCUCCUCUGGGUUCAGACCAACAAAGGUCUCAUUUGUUUCUUAUCCUCUCUUAACCCAUUCUAAGAACAGAACAAAUCCUUGUGACAAGAAUGCCAUUGCCCUGGAUCUGGAUCUGGAAAACCUGGAUGUUUGGACUCUCAUUCUGACAGCACCCAUUGGAUCCAUUGGGCUGUGAUAUUAUUGGUCCUCUCCAUCAGUGGCUGUCACACUCUCUGUCCUCCCUAUUGGACCGGCACUAUCUGGAGGAUUGCACAGAGCUGGAAAACAAUAAAUGAGUGUCUAUCAUCUUGAGAUGAUAAGCAUCUGGUGCUAGAGGUUGUGAAAGCACUAAGGUGGCUCUCUGAUGCUCCGGUAAAACCCAGGGAACUCAUUUGUAAUGACAACAUGCUUGUGGAGACAUCUGUAAGAUAAAUGACUCAGGAAAUAAAUAAAAAAAGAGGAC
Molecule: long non-coding RNA, 597 nt
Organism: Cyprinus carpio carpio
Lineage: Eukaryota; Metazoa; Chordata; Actinopteri; Cypriniformes; Cyprinidae
Source: Ensembl